GACAGAGGAGCCAAGCGUUGUCCGGACUGACUGGGCGUAAAGCGCACGCAGGUGGUCGUGCAAGUGCCGUGUGAAAGCGGCCCGCUUAACGGGUCGAGGCCAUGGCAGACUGCGCGACUGGAGGUCGUGAGAGGUCGGUGGAAUUGCCGGUGUAGUGGUGACAUGCAUAGAUAUCGGCAGGAACACCCAAGGGGAAGCCAGCCAACUGGCACGAUGCUGACACUGAGGUGCGACAGCGUGGGGAGCGAACCGG
RNAcentral lists this ribosomal RNA (253 nucleotides) under uncultured bacterium. Its description in RNAcentral is "partial 16S ribosomal RNA". It matches the Rfam family "Bacterial small subunit ribosomal RNA", at positions 524 to 776 of the family's 1533-position model. The record is from RNAcentral.